RNAcentral lists this long non-coding RNA (1069 nucleotides) under Bos indicus x Bos taurus (hybrid cattle). Its description in RNAcentral is "lncRNA (ENSBIXG00005023488.1)". The record is from RNAcentral. Lineage: Eukaryota; Metazoa; Chordata; Mammalia; Artiodactyla; Bovidae.
UUUCUGGAGUUGGAAAAUUUCCUCCACGAAUUGAACAACAUUCUUUCAUUCUUAUCAUUUCAGUACCUUCUCCAACGCAGGCUGCAGAAACCAAGCCUACCAUACCAUAUGAAACAAAUAAAACUUGCUCACCAUCAUACUCUUGCUCAACAGGUAACUUUGUUUUCUUUCCUGAAAGCCUGGGAGCUUUCAAAUUUUGAUAAAUGUUAGCACACUGUUAAGAGCACAUAUUCUGUAAUAACACAGGUCUGACUUGAGUACCUACAAAGGCUACUCCAAUUAGCUAUACGACUUAAACAAAUGUCUUACCCUCUUUGAAUCUGUGUUUAUCUUUUGUAAAAUGGAUGGAAUUUUACUGAUGUAGAAUUCUUUCAAGGAUUAAAUUAGCUAAAGAUUGGAACAUAGUUAAAUGGUAGUGAUACAUAGAGUGGCACCUAUGACUGUCACUUAGCAUGUCCAGAAAUAUGCACACCUGAGCCACAUAGCUAGCUUGUAAGAUUUGGGAACAUCCACAUGUGUAUCUGCAUUUCUCUAAAUUAAAUGAACCAGCCUUUUCUUUAAACUUAUUAGUAGGUUUAAUCCCCUGGACAGAGCCUUAAAAAGCUUAAAUCCAAAUUAACCUGGCCCAGACCAGACUAGUCACUUGUUUAUGUUUCUCCUAAACUCCAGAAACUACAUAGAAAGAACCACAAGGCCCUCCCGCUGCCUUGUUAAGCUUUCAUUUCACAUGGAUACUUUGAGAUGGGUUGAGAACAUGGACAGGAGAACCAAAGAGUCAUGCCCUCCUAGGAUUGGGCUAUUCCACCAGAAAAGUCUCCCUGCUCUCCCCAAUUUUGGAAAAUCCAUAUUCUUUCCAGAGAUGGAAUGACACUGUGACAGAGUCUCCAGAUCCCCUUUGGCGUAGCUAUCAAGUUGUAAGCAUACUCCUUCCUACUUCAUUAGCCUGAUUCACUUAUAUGUUUCCUUGGAAAUAAGUUACAUUAGAGAGUAUUAUUAUAAGUCUUGUUCACAGUUGAUUAUUUCUAAUUCAUAAAAUAAAGGAAGAAAAGAAUUUGACUCUUAAAUAGGG